This 465-nucleotide ribosomal RNA is filed under the name uncultured bacterium. RNAcentral's name for it is "partial 16S ribosomal RNA". It matches the Rfam family "Bacterial small subunit ribosomal RNA", at positions 28 to 507 of the family's 1533-position model. The record is from RNAcentral.
GACGAACGCUGGCGGCGUGCUUAACACAUGCAAGUCGAACGGAAAGGCCCUGCUUGCCGGGUACUCGAGUGGCGAACGGGUGAGUAACACGUGGGUGAUCUGCCCUGCACUUCGGGAUAAGCCUGGGAAACUGGGUCUAAUACCGGACAGGAGCCAUUUUUAGUGUGAUGGUUGGAAAGUUUUUUCGGUGUAGGAUGAGCUCGCGGCCUAUCAGCUUGUUGGUGGGGUAAUGGCCUACCAAGGCGGCGACGGGUAGCCGGCCUGAGAGGGUGGACGGCCACAUUGGGACUGAGAUACGGCCCAGACUCCUACGGGAGGCAGCAGUGGGGAAUAUUGCACAAUGGGCGCAAGCCUGAUGCAGCGACGCCGCGUGGGGGAUGACGGCCUUCGGGUUGUAAACUCCUUUCGCUAGGGACGAAGCUUUUUGUGACGGUACCUAGAUAAGAAGCACCGGCUAACUACGUG